This 528-nucleotide ribosomal RNA is filed under the name uncultured bacterium. Its description in RNAcentral is "partial 16S ribosomal RNA". It matches the Rfam family "Bacterial small subunit ribosomal RNA", at positions 355 to 874 of the family's 1533-position model. The record is from RNAcentral.
UGGGGAAUUUUGGACAAUGGGCGAAAGCCUGAUCCAGCAAUGCCGCGUGUGUGAAGAAGGCCUUCGGGUUGUAAAGCACUUUUGUCCGGAAAGAAAUCCUUGGCUCUAAUACGGUCGGGGGAUGACGGUACCGGAAGAAUAAGCACCGGCUAACUACGUGCCAGCAGCCGCGGUAAUACGUAGGGUGCAAGCGUUAAUCGGAAUUACUGGGCGUAAAGCGUGCGCAGGCGGUUUGCUAAGACCGAUGUGAAAUCCCCGGGCUCAACCUGGGAACUGCAUUGGUGACUGGCAGGCUAGAGUAUGGCAGAGGGGGGUAGAAUUCCACGUGUAGCAGUGAAAUGCGUAGAGAUGUGGAGGAAUACCGAUGGCGAAGGCAGCCCCCUGGGCCAAUACUGACGCUCAUGCACGAAAGCGUGGGGAGCAAAACAGGAUUAGAUACCCUGGUAGUCCACGCCCUAAAACGAUGUCAACUAGUUGUUGGGGAUUCAUUUCUUUAGUAACGUAGCUAACGCGUGAAGUUGACCGCCU